RNAcentral lists this ribosomal RNA (392 nucleotides) under uncultured bacterium. RNAcentral's name for it is "partial 16S ribosomal RNA". It matches the Rfam family "Bacterial small subunit ribosomal RNA", at positions 523 to 918 of the family's 1533-position model. The record is from RNAcentral.
AUACGGAGGAUCCGAGCGUUAUCUGGAUUUAUUGGGUUUAAAGGGUGCGCAGGCGGCCAUUUAAGUCAGCGGUUAAAUCGUGGGGCUCAACCCCAUUCUGCCGUUGAUACUGGGUGGCUUGAUUGCGGUCGAGGUUGGCGGAAUUCGUUGUGUAGCGGUGAAAUGCAUAGAUAUGACGAAGAACACCGAUUGCGUAGGCAGCUGACCAGACCGCAAAUGACGCUCAUGCGCGAAAGCCAGGGGAGCAAACGGGAUUAGAUACCCUGGUAGUCCGCACAGUAAACGAUGAAUACUUGUUUUCGGCGAUAUAAUGUCGGAGGCAAAGCGAAAGCGAUAAGUAUUCCACCUGGGGAGUACGCCGGCAACGGUGAAACUCAAAUGAAUUGACGGGG